Molecule: ribosomal RNA, 254 nt
Filed under: uncultured bacterium
Lineage: Bacteria
Description: partial 16S ribosomal RNA
Rfam family: Bacterial small subunit ribosomal RNA
Source: RNAcentral
CACGUAGGGGGCGAGCGUUGUCCGGAAUCAUUGGGCGUAAAGAGCUCGUAGGCGGCUCAGUAAGUCGGGUGUGAAACCCCCAGGCUCAACCUGGGGACGCCACCCGAUACUGCUGUGGCUAGAGUCCAGUAGGGGAGUGUGGAAUUCCCGGUGUAGCGGUGAAAUGCGUAGAUAUGCGGAGGAACACCGAUGGCGAAGGCAGCCUCCUGGGAUAACACUGACGCUCAUGCACGAAAGCGUGGGGAGCAAACAGG